GGAACAAAGAGAAAAAGAGAGGAACAAACCCUAGGAAAGAAAAAUUCAAGAGAAAUUGUUGGAUUUCAAGAAAUCAAGUAAGUAAAGGUAAGAUUUUUUAAUUUUAGCUUGUGAUCUACCUUUCCCAUGCAUUCUUUUUCAUUCUCCAUGGCUAAAAUUCAAGUUUUCAAGAGGGAACCUUUGCUGGCCAAAUCUAGAGAGAGAAGUUUUGGUGAUGAAUUUUGCUAGAUUUCAUAAUAUCCUAGUGUUUUUAGUCAUUCUGUGAUGUUUGGAAGGAAAAACAAGCAAGAAAAUCACAUGCCCUUCAAUAACCCUCAUUUGGCCGAAUUUUCUAUAGGGCAUGUUGAUAAUGGAUUUGGUUGUAAUUCAUGUUAUUUAGCUAGGAAUUGAUGAAUUAUAAUGUUGGAUAUCGAAAUUGGAAUGAAUUUCGGUAACGGUGAAUUAAGUCACAAUUAAGCUCAUUGAGGUACUUUGGUGUAUUGGGAAUAUUGGAAGUGUAAUGAAGAUAUUUGGAGUUGAAUUGGAUGUUUUGGCUAAUUAAACAAGGCAUAGUAUGAGUUAGGUUGAAUGCCAAUUCAGUCCGAUCAUAAUUGAACCCACGUAAAACCCCAUCUUUAAGUAAUUAUUCGGACAAUUCUCGUUCAAUGUCAUGCAUUCAUAUAGAGCCUGAAAUAGUUUUAUAACAGUUUGGCACAAAUAUAUUGAAUUACGUGUCGUGUAUUAUGUACAGGUGGUGAGCCCUUUGAUAAGGGUAAAGAUAUUGUGCCCGAGGACCAAGAAUAGGAGUACUCCAAACUCCUGCUAUUGUGAGUAAUUAGAUGUUCAUUUUAAUUAUUUACCAAUUAUUAUGUUUUACAUUUUAAAUGUUGGUUAAAUGAAUGAGAUGUAUAAAUUAUUCUGAAAUUAAAUGUUGAUUUUCGAAAUAGAGUAAGUAGAGGCUAUACAUUCAUAUUAUAUAUAUAUACAUGAUUUGAAUUGAUGGCUUAUGAAAUCGUAGUAGCAUGAAUGGCUGAAAUUGUAAUUUUGUGAAUUAUAUAAAUUGUUUUGCCUUACAUUGACAGGUUGGAUAGUACUAUAUUAGCCAUGUUAUGUUGCCGAAAUUUUAUUGAUUUGGUGGGUUAUGUAUUUAGCUUAUUGCAGUGGACGGGUUUUUAUGGACCAGCCUAUUAGAGGGGCAUGGUAAACCCCGUUAUAUUUACCUUAGUACGAGAGGCACGGAGGGUAUCUCCUAAGGUAAAGUUAGAGUUCACCUCACGCCGAACCACCACGUGAGGGUGAAACUCAGCCAACGCCAAG
Molecule: long non-coding RNA, 1296 nt
Filed under: Theobroma cacao (cacao)
Lineage: Eukaryota; Viridiplantae; Streptophyta; Magnoliopsida; Malvales; Malvaceae
Description: long non-coding RNA (TCAC_LNC005429)
Source: RNAcentral